This 480-nucleotide ribosomal RNA is filed under the name uncultured bacterium. RNAcentral describes it as "partial 16S ribosomal RNA". It matches the Rfam family "Bacterial small subunit ribosomal RNA", at positions 28 to 506 of the family's 1533-position model. The record is from RNAcentral.
GAUGAACGCUGGCGGCGUGCUUAACACAUGCAAGUCGAACGAAGCACUUUAUUUGAUUUCCUUCGGGACUGAUUAUUUUGUGACUGAGUGGCGGACGGGUGAGUAACGCGUGGGUAACCUGCCUUGUACAGGGGGAUAACAGUUGGAAACGGCUGCUAAUACCGCAUAAGCGCACGGCAUCGCAUGAUGCAGUGUGAAAAACUCCGGUGGUAUAAGAUGGACCCGCGUUGGAUUAGCUAGUUGGUGAGGUAACGGCCCACCAAGGCGACGAUCCAUAGCCGACCUGAGAGGGUGACCGGCCACAUUGGGACUGAGACACGGCCCAAACUCCUACGGGAGGCAGCAGUGGGGAAUAUGGCACAAUGGGCGAAAGCCUGAUGCAGCGACGCCGCGGGAGCGAAGAAGUAUUUCGGUAUGUAAAGCUCUAUCAGCAGGGAAGAUAAUGACGGUACCUGACUAAGAAGCACCGGCUAAAUACGU